Myotis brandtii (Brandt's bat) is the source of this 1641-nucleotide long non-coding RNA. RefSeq lists it as uncharacterized. The record is from RefSeq and is a predicted model, not a curated record. Lineage: Eukaryota; Metazoa; Chordata; Mammalia; Chiroptera; Vespertilionidae. The transcript has 2 exons.
UUUCUCUCUCCAAACAUGUCCUCAGGUGAGGAUUUUUUUUAAAAAGUAGCAUGUUUAAUGGCUCUAAUCCAUGGGGUCUUAUUAAUCAAGAUGUGAGAAGACAAAGGAAUUACUAUUUAAUGGAUACUAUCAAAGACAAAAGGAAUUACUAUUUAAUGGAUACGUUGCUUGGGAUGAUUUCAGUGCAAUUGAUGGGGGUUGGUUGACCCUGUGGGGUCGGGAAUCUUCCAGUCUUAAGUAGCCAUCGUCUGCAAACUGGAGUCAUAUUGUGCAGACUCUGAAAUGGAGUAAGAGCUGGAUUUUCCUAAUGUGAAGAAAACAGUUACAUUCGAAUCUGCAUUUUUCUCAAUUUUCUUCUUUUCUCAUAAAUGUUCCUCACAUGUUGGCACCUUCUGCUGGUCUAUGUGGAAAUCUAGCCCAAGAUGGUACCUCAUUUAAUAAAAGUAAAUAAUAGUCAUUAUUUCAGUAUUCAUUUCUCAAGGUGUCCUCAUAGACAGUACUGUGACCGCAGGUGAUCCACCGCCUGGACUGAUGUAAGCCCCUGUCUGUGGUGGGAGAUGAUGUCCCCAACCCAGUGAAGCUCAGGCACAAGAGCAGAUGAGUGGAGAUCAUGACGCCAGAGACGUCACAGGUCCACAGUCCUUACCCAAAAAGCUUUGAAAAUGAAGUUGCUUUUCUUAUCUUUCUCAAUUUGGUCCCAUAAUUCAUUUGAUAGUAAAACCUAACGUGAACCGACCUGAGAUUGUUAUAAUUUGUAUUCAUACCACUUCAUGGAUUUUGUUAAUUUUGCCUAAAGAAUGACCAUGGGUUUGAUUAAAGGGAUUGCCCCAGAUUCUGUACAAAUGUUUCAUAACAUCCAGCAUAUGCCCUAUCUUACCUGCUCACAAUGUGAAGAAUUGUGAAUUCUGAAACACAUACGGCCUGAAGGGAUUUGAAAGGACUGUGGACAUGUAAGCAGCAUCACAGCAAAGGUCUGACUUCACCCAAAACAUGAAAAUAUCACGAAGCAAAUUCUAUUUUUUAAUCUUUUUGGCUCAAUUCUUGUACAACUUUUUUUACACAGCCUUUUUUUUUUUAAGGGAUCACAUUGACUCAGCGCUUUCUAUUGUAUCUAGCAGUGGAUAAGUCUUACCUGUGGCAGGACUUUAAUUAUAAUUCUGUUGAAAUGUUUGUUCUCUCUGACCAGUGGCAGUUCAUUAUGCGAGUUUCAGUUCUGAAGUGCCUGCCUCUGCUAGCUCCGUCCUCUCAUUUCCUCAACUCACAUGCUGGGUCUCAGAAGCAUCAAGGCUUUCAAUUCCUCUUAAGUAAUUCUGGAGCUUUACAACAAGGUUCUGAGAAGAUCCCCAAACCAAAAUGCUGUGGCAUUAGGUGGGUUGCUACUAGUUCUGUGGGAAUGUGUGUCUCAGGUCCAUCUAUACCCAGUGUUCAUCUCAUUGCCAUCAGAAGACAGCAGAGCAUCUUCCUUCCCUCUUGCCUGGACAUGAAAUUUGGAGCAGGCACCCAUUUUCCGUCAUGUUGGCUGAUUGGGAAUGAUAAAGAAAGGAACAUAAUUUGCUGUGCUUGUAUUUUGCUUAGGAAUAAAUGCUUUGAUUUUAGACCAGGAACAAGACAAAAUAAAGAUAGUGUCUGAACAAAUUCGUA